This 3429-nucleotide long non-coding RNA is filed under the name Homo sapiens (human). Its description in RNAcentral is "HSALNT0396958". Lineage: Eukaryota; Metazoa; Chordata; Mammalia; Primates; Hominidae. The record is from RNAcentral.
CGCCCUACAAUCCUGCUUUGUGCUGAGAUUGUAGUCCUGCAGGCGUACAACUAACAAGCUGGGUGCAGAUAAGAGACUACAGCUCCCCGCAUCCCAAGCAAAGGUCCCUCCUCUACGGAGCCCCUCCACGCGUCCACUGCGGUUCCGCCGUGCCAAGGGGAGCUUGGCUGUUCACGGGCCUCACCUGCUAGCGAGAAGAUAGCUUGGCCGGGCGGCUGAUCUCACCUUGUAAUUCUGACACUGUGUCUCCCGGGCUUGUCGGCUUCAUGACUUGUGCCCAAAGUUUGAUUUCUCGCAGACCAGGAGGACCCAUUGGACCCCCGGGCUGGCUGCAGGGCCCACACCUGGGUUAGACCUCGCACAGGGACGCUGCUGCCACUGUAAUAAAGCGUGCCUACACGCUUCUGAAACUGGUGUAGGAACAACCUCAGUUCUGUGAAAGGCGGACGCAGCAGGACAGAAUCUCCGUGGACAUCUGUCUGGAGGAGCAAUUUUACUGCGACAUUUUAAAGAAACAAAUUUAAUUGAUUUCCAAGGGUGUCCAUCGCGCUUCCUUCACUGCCUUGAUCAUGUCGGGGUCACCACCUGCGGGGGUUUGUCCUGCAGACCCUGACUCAACGACGGAUGAAUAAUGUACACUGACACAGAUCUUAUGCUUGUCAGUCCUGCUGAGCAUCCAGGCCACUUACAGACUCCAAGAAGAGUCCUGUCAGCCACGGCUCUGACUUGUUGGCCCUCCCGGCAUUUAUUUAGCACACAUUUAAUGACAGAAGUCUCAGGCUGGAAACACUCUUUUUGUAGAACAUACAAAUGGACAUUUCUAAGCACAUUGAGGCCUAUAAUGAAAAAUCAAAUAUCCCACAAUGAAAACUAGAAGGAAGCUAUCUGUGAUAAUGCUUUGUGGUGUAUGGAUUCAUCUCACUGACUGAAACCUGAGUUUUGAUUCACCAGGUUGGAAACUCUUUCUGCAGAAUCUGCAAAGAAAUAUUUCUGAGCCCAUUGAGGCCUACAGUGGAAAACUGAAUAUUCUGUGAUAAAACUAGAAACACCCUAUCUGUGAAAAUGCUUUGUGAUGUGUGGAUUUUUCUCAUCGAAUGGAACCUCUGUUUUGACUCACAAGGGUGAAACACUAUUUUAGUAGAAUCUAGGAAGAAACAUAUCUGAGCCCAUUUAUGCCUACAGUGAGAAACUGAAUACCCUGCAAUAAAAAGUAGACAGAAGCUAUUUGUAAAAAUGCUUUGUGAUGUGUGGAUUCAGUGUUAAACUUUUAUUUUGAUUCCACAGUUUUGACACCCUAUUUGUAGAAUAUAUGAAUGAACAUUUCUCAGCCCAUUGAGGCCUAUCAUGUGAAACCAAAUAUUUUAUAAUAAAAACUGGAAACAAGUGAUCUGUUAAAAUGUUUUUUAGUGUGUGAAUUUGUUUCACAAAGAUAAAUCUUUGCAUGGAUUCAACAGGUUGGAAACAUUAUUGUAGAACCUAUGAAGGGAUGUUUUUAGCCUAUUAAGGACUAUAUAUAUAAAAAAAACUAGAAACAAGCUGUCUGUGAAAAUGCUUUGUGAUGUGUGGAUUCAUCUCACAGAGUUCCACCUUUGUUUUUAUUCAACAGGUUAAAAACGCUCUUUUUGUAGAACCUACAAAAAGACAUUUCUGAGCCCAUUGAGGCCUACAGUGAAAAACCAAGAAUCCCAUAAUACAAUCUAGAAAACAAGCUAUCUAGGAAACUGUUUUGGAUGUGUGGAUUCAUUUAACAGAAUGGAAAUAGUGUUUUGAUUCACCAUGUUUGAAACACUCUUUUUGUGGAAUGCACGAAGAACAUUCUUUGUGGAAGAACAUUGAUGCCUAUAGUGAUUAACCAAAUAUCACGUGAUGCAAACUAGAAACAAGCUAUCUGUGAAAAUGCCUUGCAGCGUAUGGAUUCAUGUCACAGAGUUACACCUAUGUUUUGAUUCAACAGGUUGGAAACAAUCUUUUUGUAGAAUCUACAAAGGAAUAUUUCUGAGCCAAUUGAGUUCUAGAGUGAAAAACAGAAUAUCCUGUGAUAAAAACUAUAAAUAAGCUCUCUGUGAAAUUGCUUUGAGACUGUGGAUGCAUCUUUCAGAGUUAUGCCCUUGCUUAUAUUCAACAGGUUGGAAACACUUUUCUUGUAGAAUCUAUGAAGGGAUAUUUCUGAACCUAUUGAGGCCUAUGGUGAAAAAUUGAAUAUUCUGCGAUAUAAACCAGAAACAAGCUCUCUGUGAAAAUGCUUUUCCAUGUGUGCAUCCAUCUUACAGAGUUAAACGUUUGUUUAGAUUCAACAGGUUGGAAAUACUCUUUUUGUAGAAUCUAUGAAGGGAUAUUUCUGAACUUUUUGAGGCCUAUUGGCAAAAUCCGAAUAUUACGUGAUAAAAACUAGAAACAAGGUAUCAGUGAAAAUGCUUUGUGAUGUGUGGGUUUAUCUCACCAAAUAAAACCUGUGUCUUGAUUCACCAGGUUGGACACACUUUUUUUUCUAUAACCUACAUAGGGCGAUUUCUGAGCCUAUUGAGGUCUAUAGCAAAGCAACAACAACAAAUAUCCUGUCUUAUAAUCUAGAAAGAAGUUAUCUCUGAAAAUACUUUAUGAUGUGUGAAUUCAUCUCACAAAGUUAAACCUUUGUUUUGAUUCAACUGAUUGGAAACACUCUUUUUGUAAAAUCUAUGAAGGGAAAUUUCUGAGCCCAUUUAGGCCUAUAGUGAGAAACAGAAUAUCCCACUGUAAUAAGUAGAAACAAGCUAUCUGUGAAAAUCAUUUAUGGUGGCUGGAUUCAUCUCACCAAAUGAAACCUGUGCUUUGAUUCACCAGUUUGGAAACACUAUUUUUAUAGAAUCUAUGCAGGAAUAUUUCUGAUCCCAUUGAGGCAUAUGCUGAAAAUUCGAAUAUCCCAUGAUAAAAACUACAAACAAGCUAUCUAUGAAAAUGUUUUGUCAUGUGUGGAUUCAUCUCACAGAGUUAAACCUUUGUUUUGAUUCAUCUGUUUGAAAACACGCUUUUUUGUAGAAUCUAAGAAUCAACAUUUCUGAGUGCAUUGAAGCCUAUAGUGAAAAACAAAAUAUCUGAUGAUAAAAACUAGAAACAAGCUAUCUGUGAAAAUGCUUUGUGAUAUGUGGAUUCAUCUCAAAGAAUUAAACUUUAUUUUGAUUCAACAGGCUGGAAACACUGUUUUCGUAGAACCUACAAAAAGACAUUGGGGAGCCCACUGAGUCUUACAGUGAUAAACCAAGGAUCCUGUGAUAAAACUAGAAACAAGCUAUCUGUGAAAAUGCUUUGCAGUUGGUGAAUUUCUUUCAUAGUUAAACCUUUUUUUAUUCAAUACGUUGGAAACACCAUUUUUUAGUGUCUCUAAAGGGACUUUUUCAGCCCUUUGAAACCUAUAGUGAAAAACCAAAUAUCUUGCAAUAAAAACAAAUAAAC